UCCGGUUGUAGUCGGGGUUGCCGUUUGGACUUUGCAUUAUGGAGAAGCGGUGUUUUUCUCUUCUGCUGCUCUGUGUGCUGUCUGUGUUUCAUGUCACAGCAGACAACGUCAACGUUAAAAAGAUGAAAAUGCAGUUUACUGGAAUGCCACUUCUAAAGUUUCAGAUUUGUGUAUCCUGAGGAUACAGGCGGGUGUUUGAAGAGUACACUCAGGUUCUCAACCAGAGGUACCCAGACAUCCGCAUCGAGGGAGAAAACUUCCUGCCUCAGCCAAUAUACAGGCACUUAGCAUCCUUCCUGUCUGUCUUCAAGCUUGCAGUAAUUGGUUUAAUUAUCCUGGGUAAAGAUCCUUUUGCAUUCUUCCAUAUGGAGCCUCCAGGAAUCUGGCUUUGGGCAAAAGAAAAUAAGAUAUACGCCUGCAUGAUGGUGUUCUUCCUCAGCAACAUGAUUGAAAACCAGUGUAUGUCUACUGGCGCCUUUGAGAUCACACUUAAUGAUGUGCCUGUAUGGUCAAAGCUUCAGUCAGGCCACCUUCCCUCCAUGCAGCAGCUGGUGCAGAUUUUGGAGAAUGAGAUGAAGUUGAGCGCGCACUUGGACUCUCUUCCCAACAGACGAGCUUAAUCCUGCAGUAACUGAGCAGACGGCUGAGGCUUGUGGGUAGCACAAUUCAUGUGUGUAAGAUCUUGUUGUGUGAGGUGGCAUUAAUGAAGGUUUGUACUGAAGGCAGUAUGUGUGCUGGUGCAGACUGGAUGUCCAGGCCUAUCUCACCAUUCAUUGGGUUUUAACACAGCAGCUCAGCUGUCCUUGGUUUGAAGUAUGGCGGAAAAUUUUAGCUGCAGUGAUUCUGUAGAGACUGAUUAAUAAUUAAGUGCUGUUAAGUGGGGCAAAUCAGGUUUAAAUGCAUUGUUUUACCUGUUUUGCGCAGUAGUUUGUAUUCAUUACUAAAAUUUGUUUUCGGUAUAUUCCAAAUCUGAAAAUUAAACCUGUUAAUAAUGCUUUAAGAACUAGAUUUCUGUUUAACCUUUAUGUCCAUGUCUGUCUCUUUCUUUUCUUUUUUAUCAUGUUUAAUUGUCUUUCAUCGUAUUGGUGUGCCAAACUGUUCAUUCCACCCAGUGUUUACCAUGAGGUAUUUUGCAAUAUAAAUGUGUAAGAUCUAUACAUUUCAAAGUAAAGGUAUUCAUUUUUCAAAUAAAUAAAUAAAUAAAUCAUACACGGCAAAAAUAGACUUUAUAUAUUUUGGAUCAUUUUUAUAUUUGUUUAUACUUGAGUUUAAAAUAAAAUGUAUAAUUUGAUGUGUAAA
Molecule: non-coding RNA, 1299 nt
Organism: Paramisgurnus dabryanus
Lineage: Eukaryota; Metazoa; Chordata; Actinopteri; Cypriniformes; Cobitidae
Source: RefSeq, a predicted model, not a curated record